AUACGUAGGAGGCAAGCGUUAUCCGGAUUUACUGGGCGUAAGGCGCGUGUAGGCGGUUUGGUAAGUUGGAUGUGAAAGCUCCCGGCUCAACUGGGAGAGGUCGUUCAAGACUGCCAGACUAGAGGGCGGUAGAGGGAGGUGGAAUUCCGGGUGUAGUGGUGAAAUGCGUAGAUAUCCGGAGGAACACCAGUGGCGAAGGCGGCCUCCUGGACCGCACCUGACGCUCAGACGCGAAAGCAUGGGUAGCAAACGGGAUUAGAAACCCCAGUAGUCC
This 274-nucleotide ribosomal RNA is filed under the name uncultured bacterium. RNAcentral describes it as "partial 16S ribosomal RNA". It matches the Rfam family "Bacterial small subunit ribosomal RNA", at positions 523 to 796 of the family's 1533-position model. The record is from RNAcentral.